GAGAGAGAGAUCCACUUAUUUCUGAGAAGAUAGACAACCUUUGCCAGAAAGAAAGUGGUUCAACCCGUCUGCUUUCCUUGUCGUGCGUUUGGUGAAUGAAAAAAAAGGACGUUUGAGAAGGCAGUUUGUUGCUAUGGUGGGGUAGAGAGAGAUACAUGGUUUUCUUUUAGUAGAAGCUUCUGUUGCAUCUUACUGUCGCUGCUGCUUCUCUGGCUGCUGCACUUGCACAGAGCAGAUCUCCAUUACCAGUUGUGGUUUUUGGGACUCAAAAAGUUAAAACUGCACCACUGAGAAGCUGAAGAGGAUGUAGAAUUGCAUUUGUAGCAAAUAUUGCCCUUGAUAUUUCACACAAGCACAACCUGCAACACAUCAGGAAGGUUUGCUGAGACACGACUUGUGGGGUUAUUUUUCCAGGGAAGACAGUGAGGAGUUCAACGUCAACAGCAAAAGGCAGAGCCCAGGAUGCCUCUCUACUUGGAGGGUGCUGACUGAAAACUUAGCUUUGCCCUCCCAAUAAACCAGCUCAUUUUGGAGCACGGCGCUUCCUUCGGUUUGCCUUUGUCCAAAGAGAGGAUUUUUUCAAUUAGGGUCCCUUUAGAUGGAAUUUUACAUGGCAGAAACCUUGUCACCGGAAGGAUUAAUGUCAGCAUUAGCAUUUCGACAAUAAAAUACAUAUAUUCGAAGCUAAUUGGUGAAUGCCCACGGACAGUCUCAAACCUGGAUUCCUCGGCUCAGCAUUCAGCGUUGGAAUUUUUAAUUACUUGCUGUAGGGAAACCAUUGCCAAUGCUUACAAGGAACUGCUUAUCCCUGCUUCUCUGGUUCCUGUUCGAUGGAGGUCUCCUAAUGUCACUUCAUCCACAACCACAACAGACUUUAGAAGGUGAGACGAGAGGAAAUGAUGCCACAAUGCCAGAGCGGAGGACAGCUGCUGUGCGGGUCAAGCGAGGCUGGGUCUGGAAUCAGUUCUUUGUGCUGGAAGAAUACAUGGGCUCCGAACCCCAGUACGUG
Pogona vitticeps (central bearded dragon) is the source of this 1009-nucleotide non-coding RNA. The record is from RefSeq and is a predicted model, not a curated record. NCBI's taxonomy places the organism in Eukaryota, Metazoa, Chordata, Lepidosauria, Squamata, Agamidae.